RNAcentral lists this non-coding RNA (150 nucleotides) under Aliterella atlantica CENA595. Lineage: Bacteria; Bacillati; Cyanobacteriota; Cyanophyceae; Chroococcidiopsidales; Aliterellaceae. RNAcentral also lists the same sequence under 1 other name. The record is from RNAcentral.
AAAGUUGAAUACUAAAUCGGUUCUAGUGGGGGUCAGCCACUAGAGGUAAGGGGGAAAAUUUGGUGUAAACCCAAUGCUGUCCCGCAACUGUGAUGAGAUUACUACAAGUAGUCGCUGAGUCAGGAUGCCCGCCGAUGGCUUGAAAACUUU